Non-coding RNA from Carnobacterium divergens DSM 20623, 285 nucleotides. It matches the Rfam family "Listeria sRNA rliD". The record is from Rfam. NCBI's taxonomy places the organism in Bacteria, Bacillati, Bacillota, Bacilli, Lactobacillales, Carnobacteriaceae.
CUGUUAAUGGGAAAAAGUCAACAUCUUUUGCUUUUUUACUAGCUACUGCGGCCGUUAAUACAGCAGUAUCUCCAUAACGGAUUAAAGCAGCUCCAUUUGCUUGUUUUGCUAAUUGGCCCACUUCUACCUUUAACGUGCGGCCUGCCCACUCUUUUGUAAAAAUUUGUUUUUCUGUCAUAUUUUACAGUUCUCCUUUGUUGUUCAAAGUCGAAAAUCUUAUUAUCAAACAGAUACACACAAGCUACUAAACAAAUGUGAACACCUAAUUUAGUUUAGAUACUCGCA